GGAGUUAGCCGGUGCUUCUUCUGUGAGUGAUGUCCUUCCUGCCGGCUAUUAACCCGCAGGCCUUCUUCCUCACUGAAAGUGCUUUACAACCCGAAGGCCUUCUUCACACACGCGGCAUGGCUGGAUCAGGGUUGCCCCCAUUGUCCAAUAUUCCCCACUGCUGCCUCCCGUAGGAGUCUGGGCCGUGUCUCAGUCCCAGUGUGGCUGAUCAUCCUCUCAGACCAGCUACGGAUCGUCGCCUUGGUGAGCCGUUACCUCACCAACCAGCUAAUCCGACAUAGGCUCAUCCGAUAGCGCGAGGCCCGAAGGUCCCCCGNUUUCCCCCGUAGGGCGUAUGCGGUAUUAGCCUGGGUUUCCCCAGGUUAUCCCCCACUACCGGGCAGAUUCCUAUGCAUUACUCACCCGUCCGCCGCUCGCCACCAGGGAGCAAGCUCCCCGUGCUGCCGCUCGACUUGCAUGUGUUAGGCCUGCCGCCAGCGUUCAAUCUGAGCCAGAUCAAACUCUGA
This 506-nucleotide ribosomal RNA is filed under the name uncultured bacterium. Its description in RNAcentral is "partial 16S ribosomal RNA". The record is from RNAcentral.